RNAcentral lists this ribosomal RNA (292 nucleotides) under uncultured Bacteroidota bacterium. Its description in RNAcentral is "uncultured Bacteroidetes bacterium partial 16S ribosomal RNA". Lineage: Bacteria; Pseudomonadati; Bacteroidota. The record is from RNAcentral.
GGACUACUGGGGUUUCUAAUCCUGUUUGAUCCCCACGCUUUCGUGCCUCAGUGUCAAUAUAUGAGUAGCCAGCUGCCUUCGCAAUUGGUGUUCUAUGUCAUAUCUAAGCAUUUCACCGCUACAUGACAUAUUCCGCUGACCUCCACAAUAUUCAAGACUGAUAGUAUCAAUGGCAGUUUCCAAGUUAAGCUCGGAGAUUUCACCACUGACUUACCAACCCACCUACGCACCCUUUAAACCCAGUGAAUCCGGAUAACGCUUGCACCCUCCGUAUUACCGCGGCGGCUGGCAC